Long non-coding RNA from Photinus pyralis (common eastern firefly), 393 nucleotides. RefSeq lists it as uncharacterized. NCBI's taxonomy places the organism in Eukaryota, Metazoa, Arthropoda, Insecta, Coleoptera, Lampyridae. The transcript has 2 exons. The record is from RefSeq and is a predicted model, not a curated record.
UGCAGAUAACAGGACCGUAUAAAAGCUCACCUGAACGAUUUGGUUCCAUUAUAGUCACUCAGUCAGAAUGAAGUCUUUCUUGUUGGUUGUCGUAGCAUUGGUUGCAGUUCUCAGCUCCGUAACUGCACAAAUACCUUGCAAGGGGAUGUUCUUUUCCUGUACUGAAACCUGCACGUUUGGAGGCAAUCAUAUUUUUGGAGUUUGUCCUGCGGGACAAGUCUGUUGCCCUAUGGGACUAGGAAGAAAGUAGAGGAAUAUCCACUAGAUCAAAGCCAUUUGAAAAAUGCGAAUAAAAUCGAUUCACACAUUCGGUAUACUUUCGUGCUUGUGUAAUGAUGUAAAAUGGCUGUUUGAACUAUACCAUUAUUGAAAUAAAGUGUAUUUUGAAAACUA